Molecule: long non-coding RNA, 816 nt
Filed under: Apteryx rowi (Okarito brown kiwi)
Lineage: Eukaryota; Metazoa; Chordata; Aves; Apterygiformes; Apterygidae
Description: lncRNA (ENSARWG00000014658.1)
Source: RNAcentral
AAGCGAAUGCUGCUGAGGAAGCGGAUACCCAUGUGGCUGUGGUCAUCAGGCCAGGCAACGCAGGACUGACAGACGACGAGAAAUCAUGUCCCUGUUGAGGCUGCUGUAUAGACAACAAACCAGAGAAAGGCAUUUGGGGAGGAACUACAUCAUGCCAGCACUGUCCUUGUAAAACGCUGAUGGUAGCAGGGAUGACAAGAUGCUCCAUGUCAGCUCAGCCAAGUGAUGCAAAUUCAGCUGAGCCUGGCUCGCAGGGGAAAAACAGCAGCGGUGCUCAUGUGAAACAGCUCCCUUCUCCUCCGACCAAUACAGCAGCCUUCCCAAACUCGGGGGGAUUCAGACAUGGGGUUUGUGCUUCUGCUUCUUCUUUGAAAAACAGCCCACCUGGCUGCAGGAAAAGUUUCUCAUUUUUGUAUUUCAACCAGCCUUCCAAUUCAAGCACCACUUGGGAGUACCCACCAAAACUACUUGGUUUUGGUCAUUCAGCUCAGAGGAAAGGACUGGUUGAUUCCCUGUCCCCAAGGGACGGGGAGGGAGAAGCCCUUCUGUUUUCCCCAGUUCCUUCCUGCAGCUGCCAUGCCACGUCCCCCGAGCCCUGGGGAAGCGCUGCUCCCAUGCUGUGUCCUGCCGGGCCUGUGCUCCUUGGAAGCCCACUUCAGCCUUCGAAUCCAGAGCUUGUGGCAGACCCUGCUCAGGAAAACUGGCCACGCUGGGAGGUCUGGAGCCUAGGCAGAGCCUAGGCCUAGCAUUAGCAUCUCUGAAACUUGACUUCUAAGCACAUGCGUAGCAAAAAUAAAUCUGUGCCUGUAAAACCCA